GCAAUUCUGUUACUUUUCAAAAGACAGAGGUAGAUAGAAUGGUUAAACUGAAACAAAUAUGGAAGUCCAUGACUAAUUUCGAACAAAAAAAUAAAAAAAAUUGAAGUUCUGGGACUGAUACUAUUUUUAACCCUGUAAACAUUCGAUAUUAGGCAAAUUUAUGUUUUUACAUGGAUAAAAACAUCGAAAAUUUUGCCUUUUGGGGUUUUGCACGGUUGAAGUCAACCAUGCCUGCUUGUUGCGUGAACUAGAAGAAAUGUCGGUCUUCUGUAAGUAAGAAACAUUUUCCUGUAUUUGUGCAGGGAGUGACAUCAGUGCAUGGAAUGAUUUCCCUAACUGGAGUGGUUGGGGCGGAUGGGCUCUUCCGUCACUGGAAUACUAUGGAAACGGUGAUCAAGCAGAACAAAAUGGUGAAUCCCAGGGGCGUUCUUCACGUGGAAGAUCCAGAAAAGUUGUCCCAGUCGAGUAAACUUUCUGAGUCUUUGUGGUGAUUCGUGUGAGUAAAUUAGCAUCUUAUGUUUGCCUAUAUAUAGUUUCAGUCAGUUAUGUGCUAUGGUCUUGUGGAGUUUUCUACCUGUGAACUUUUAGUUUAACCAUGUUCCCGAUGAUGGAAAGUAUCGAAUUAUGAAAUCUGUGUGUACUUGCCUUGUUGAGAUCUUCUGUUUACCAGUAGAAAUAUUAGAACAACUUGAAAAUAUUGUUCCAUCUGCUGCUUCUUCUUUCAUUUUUUUCCUUCC
RNAcentral lists this long non-coding RNA (737 nucleotides) under Olea europaea (common olive). RNAcentral's name for it is "long non-coding RNA (OEUR_LNC012719)". Lineage: Eukaryota; Viridiplantae; Streptophyta; Magnoliopsida; Lamiales; Oleaceae. The record is from RNAcentral.